RNAcentral lists this long non-coding RNA (823 nucleotides) under Brassica rapa (field mustard). RNAcentral's name for it is "long non-coding RNA (BRAP_LNC001829)". The record is from RNAcentral. Lineage: Eukaryota; Viridiplantae; Streptophyta; Magnoliopsida; Brassicales; Brassicaceae.
CAACUGUAAUGCAAUAAUGAUUUGUAACAUUAAAAAUAUUUUCAUCGAAUGUUGGUGCUCUUUCCACUUCUUCUUCGACUACAAAUUUCUCCACUUAACGCAUGUACAGAUGAGUUAUACGUGCUGCACUUGAGAAUUAUCAGUUUACUGAAUAAGAAGAAGAAUAUAAUACUCAAAUUUUCACGAUAUCAGUACUUCAGGCUCACCGUCACGAACCAAAAACUAAUGAAACAGAAUCAGGAAAAUAAAUACGAAACAAUAAAAAUUGAGUAGACUGCAAUACAAAAACAGGGAGAGAGUACAAAAUCAGAGACGACAUAAGUUGGAAUCAAUAAAUGAUCUGAGAAGAGAGAAAAGGAAAGCGACAAACGGAUUCGUCGGCCAAAAAAUAAGACGCAGUUGACUCUAGCUCCUCCCACCCAUUACUAACCAUUCAAAAAGAGAUCCGAUCACAGAGACACUCAGAUACUGCAGAGACAAAUACGUAUACCAUAAAAGGAGGAAGAUAAACAAAAUUAAAGAGGCAUAAAUUAAUCAGACAUAAGACGAGCAAUAUAUGGAAAACUAAACUUUCUGAAUUGAGGAUAGAUUCAAGCAAACAAAUGGUUUACAAACGAUUAUGUUGAAAACGAUUCUGAGAUUCUGGGUGCAAAGAUCGAUGGAUUAAGAAAAGAUGUAUCGAAGAAGAAGGAUUCAGCGCAUUUUUGAAUUGAGUGUUCACACCAAGUUUGGAGGAAACAGAGAGAAGAAAACCCCAGAGAAGAAGAAGAAGCAAAAGAGAGCCUUUGAUGAAUAAAUUACAAAAAAGAUUACAACCCUGUAC